Eutrema salsugineum is the source of this 681-nucleotide RNA transcript. RefSeq lists it as uncharacterized. The transcript has 3 exons. The record is from RefSeq and is a predicted model, not a curated record. NCBI's taxonomy places the organism in Eukaryota, Viridiplantae, Streptophyta, Magnoliopsida, Brassicales, Brassicaceae.
CGAUUUCUAUACAAAAAAAAGAAAGAGGAAACAAGGUCCAAAAUUUUCUUAAGAAGAGAAUGGCUGCGACGGCGUUUUCCAAGACGAGUGCAAGCUCCAACCUUUACCUCCAUCGCUUCCAUCAAAACCACUCUCACCUUCCGUCUCCGUCUAUUCCUCCGCCGUCUCGACUUCAUCCUCAAACCCUUUUCCUCGCCGCGACUCCUCACCGCAUACGAUGCAUCGCCGUCGCUUCUCUCCGUCCUCCAACUCCACCCACUCCCGAUCCUCCUCCGCCUCGAAACACGACUGAUCUCGCAAAUCUUGUGGAAGUAGCGUCGAUGAUUCAUGACCGUGUAAAGAUCUUUCUUGCACUACUAAUUUGGAUCUCUCUGUUCUUCUGGGCCUCGGCAUUACAAGGAAGAGGCAGAGGAAAGGGUAAAGGGAAGAAGAAAGGUUCGCGUUUCAAAUAGUAUAAUUUGGAUGAUGAUUGAUGAAGACUCAUCUAUACACAUGUGUGUGUGUAUAUAUUUGUCCAGAGGAAUUACCUUUGGGAAUCAUUUACCAAGAAAAAGGAAAAGCCACCAGUGAUCGUUUUCUCUCGCUGAGAAGAAGAGCACGAAGAAGCUGCGUGAGGUUGAUAUUAGGGUUUCGAGAGCUGAAAAUCGCCAUGGGUGUCGAUCCAUCCAAAACCUCGGACGG